Paramuricea clavata is the source of this 6056-nucleotide non-coding RNA. The record is from the annotation of a GenBank genome assembly. NCBI's taxonomy places the organism in Eukaryota, Metazoa, Cnidaria, Anthozoa, Malacalcyonacea, Plexauridae.
UACCGAUACCGCUGUUUGUGGUAUCGCUGGUAUCGAAUACCGAGUACUCGGUAUCGCCCAUCACUAAUUCACACCGCCAUUACGCCAUAUUUUUCAAGCCUUCAUUCUGAAUUUAUGGGUUCGAAAAAUUCGCUUUUUUUAAGCGACGAGGAAUGAUUUGAACGAAGAGGAAACAGCGAGCAUGACUGAAUAACAUUCAGGUAAGCAUAUUGUUAUGUUAUAUGUAUAAUGGAGCAGCUUUGAAAGUAAAUAUUCGUUAUCUUCAUUCAUGAAUUUUGAGCAUGUGUUCAUGUUUAAAAUUUGAAUUUGCCGCGACAAUAUUUGAAUUAAAAAGAUGAUAUAUUAGUUUUAUAGAAGGCUUACAUUUGACUUUAUAUUAAAUUAUGUUUAUUGUAUAAAGGGCAACUAAUAUUUGUGUAUAUGAAUAUAUGACAGACUACCAGAUAUUAAACAAUGUUUCUGGUAUAAAGUAUAAAUAUAGCUUGGCAUCUACUCAAUCAUCAUAUGCUCAACUACACAUGUCCCAGCUAAACAUGGUUUGAGAAAAUGUAACCACUUGUUUCAAAUCAACUGCUACUUUCAUAAGUUCCUAAUUUUUAUAUAUCUAGGUUUUUUAUGUCCAAAUUCUUCAAUCAAUGAAAAAAUCUAUUUCACUGUUAGAGGUGUUAUGCACCAGUCAAUGAAAACCUAUACAACUCAGCCCCCCGCCCCACCCCCCCGAAUAUAAGCCCAGUAGCCCACUAUGUUAUUCAACAUUGACAUUGUCUUUUAAUUAACCCAUUAAGCUGUGGAGCUGCCCCAUUGACAAGUAAAAUUGUCUGGCAUAAGACAAGUAAAAAAAUAAGUAAGGCACACUGGGGCGCAUUGCGGCUUGAUGGGUUUACCAGACAUAAUUUGUCAAAUUUUUUGGUCAACCCAUUAAGCUGCAGAGUUUCCCCAUUGACGAGCAAAAUCGUUUGGCGUUAGACAAGUGAAAAAAAAGUAGAGCGCACUGGGGCGCGUUGUGGCUCAAUGGGUUAAUAUAUCAGAGAACAAUAUUUAAAAACAUUGUCUUUAUAGCUUAAGUCAACAACAAAACGUCGUUAAUUAAUCAAAGUGCAUUAUUACUAUGUGUUUAUUUUCCUGUUUAUGACUGACUUGUUUAUUAUACUAACACAAAAGAUUGAAUGUCCAUGUAUAAGCUCUAUCCCUCCUAUAUACUGUAACCCCCCCCCCCCUUUGUAUAAGCCCACCAAAUAUAUAGCCCAGGGUUUAUAGUCCGAGAUUUACGGUAUUCCAUGAACCCAUUAAGAUGUGAUGUUGUGAUGGAUUAACAGACUGUGUGUGCAUGUCUCAGUUACCAUUAGCACUUACAUACCCUAAUUUAACCCAUUAAGCUGCAGAGCUUCCCCGCGUUUUCCCCGUUUCCUAGGAUAGAGGCCUCAUCACGAUUUAUGAAUAAGGUCUAUAGUACUCUGAUUUUCCAUUUAACAUACGAGCCUCUAGUCCUGGGAUAGGGUACAUUUUGAUUUACGUUGGACAAAGCUACAGUGCUGUCGGACACCAAUACAUGUCGGACAAACAAUAAACCUCAAUUUCACUUUGGUCGGACAGAAUGUCUGGUGGUUUCCUCUCUACGUUGGACAAUUUCACUAAUGGGUCGGACAAUGUCCAUGACCGACCGAUAUUUUAAGGCCUGCAUAGCCGGAUUAACCCUAACCCGUAGUUAAAAUUUAUGUAUUUCUACAUACAGUAUCUUUUUGUUUUAAAAUUAUGAAAAGAAAACUCCUAUGGUACUGAUCCAGACAAGAUGUCUAAAGAAAUAUUUCCAAAUUUAUAAACAAACUGUUAGGAAGUUUGCUUAAUCUAAGGUUAACUUAUCGGCUUUCGAACAAUCAACCCCUGCAUGGUGAUUUUGUUUGUCAAUGGGGAGUGUGUUGGACUUAAAAGGUUUUAACCUUUCAUUGAAACUAGAUUGUCUGCCCGCAUUUUGUGUUAACACAUUAUUAAGAUAAAAGCCAGACUGCUUUCAGUACUUCAUGAUUUUACUAUGUCUAACAUCAGAGGGUCACAUUUCAUAUUUAACCCUUUUAGAUGCAAAGGACAUUUUAGUCAUCCAGAGGGGGAGGGAGUCUAAGAGUAGAAUCUUCUGAGACUGAUAAUAGUAAGAUGUACUAAGACAUCAAUGGAAUGGGGUGGGGGGUUAAAUUCCAAGUUUCUUUGUAUGUCAUGCUUGAAGUUUUCAAGGAUGGAUAGAUCGGCUUAGAUAAAAAUGUCAAUUUGAUGUUUUGUGUGGCAACUUGAAUAUGGACAUCUCCCUAAUUGGAAACAGUUAAAGUCCUUAGUUUGUUUGUUUGUUCAAACUCAUGAAUACAUUUAGCUAGCUACACCACCCACAUGAUCUGCUUAGUAAUAUAUGUAACAACCCAAUUCACUCCAAUUAACCCAGUUUUCAGCACUUUCUUAAAUUAUGUCACCUUUCCUAAUGCCAGACAAGUUAAUUUGUGUGUAGCUAGAUUUUGCCCAUGUUUCAUGUUGACAUAUUUAGAUGCAAUUUUCCCUAACACUCCCUACUUUAAGUACUUUAAUAUUGAACUGUGACGUCUCAUGCUAGACAAUUUUACUUAUCGACUGCAUGGACUCAUUUCACCUAUUAACACCGAAGAAACAAUUUCCUCUUAAAUGUUGCCUACUUUCGGUUCUUUCUAGGGGUGUGCAGGACAGAGUAUUUCUGCUAUCCAGCCAGAUACAGGAUAUGCUGGAUGGCUGAAAAAUAUCCAGCCCGAUUAAGGGUAUUAUUCAAAUAAUUAUAUAAGGUUCAGGCAUCAUUUAAGGUUAAGUACUGGUAAUAAUUUUAUUUGGUUAAAAAGUAAACAGUCUAAAACUAGUAAACCUGCAUCAUUGGUAGCAAACAUGCAUCAUUGGUAGCAAAAGCCUCGUUUACAUCAGUUAAAAGUUCAAAUCCCCAUUUACUGUACAAACAAGCAUUGAAAAUACUGAUCAUAUUUAUCAUAUUUUUACUUCAAUGAUCAUGAUAUGAUAACCUUAUCAAAUCAUUUUCUAACCUGAAAAGAAGGCCUGAACCCUAUAUAAAUAAUAUCCGACAUUGGGUAGCCGGAUGCCAGAUAAUGAAUUAAAAUCUUAAUAUCCGGCCAGAUACAGUAUCAGUCCAUUGCAUCCUAUGUCUUGAAAUGCCAAACAAAUUAACUUGUUAAAUGACUGUACGAACUGUUACAUGAAGUACAUUGCUUGCGGGCGCAGGAGAAAAGGGCGCGAAAACAUUGUGACGAGUUUUAUCUUUUAUCGAGUUUGGUAUUAUCACUGUGUUAUAUAUUUGUAUUGUUGAUUAUAAAGGAAAAAUACCUCACAAUAACUUGUAAGUAAUCCUGUUUCUAGGAUCGUUAAGUAUCUUUACACACACUAAUUUUUUAGUAAACUAACUAACAAUGUAACAUAUUUCUAGCGAAUCUAGUGCUGACUAGUGCAGUCGUCAGUGCUGAAUAAAAGUAUUGUGAAAAGACAAAUUUACGAGAAUUGAAGUUUACAAUGACUGUAUAUUGAUAUUCAAUAUACUUAGCUAAUAUUAGCCUCCUGCGCAGACGUUGUUAGUGGCCGAGGCCUCACCUAACGUCUGCUCACAUUCGCUAUACAUUUGACUUCCCGGCAAUUAACCAAUCACAAUCAUCUACACGAUAAUUGGAAGAUCGGCCUUCAAUGACCUUCACACGCAUGGGCUAUAUCAACAAGUCUGUAGUAUUUUUAAAUUUGAAAAUUUUAACACUGCGCAUUAGAAAAAGGCUUUUCAGUCUAUUAUAAACGAAAAGGAUGUUGUCGUAAAUCUUACAACUGACGCAGGAAAUCCCUUAUUUAUCACGCCGUUACCGAAGCUAUUCGAUGUAAUAUUCGGAUUUAAAUAUUUAAACAAAUUGUAAACAUUGUAAACAUUUAGUAAUCGUGGUUUCGGUUGAUAAAUUCAAUACGAGAUCAAGUCAAAAAACUACACGAUCUAGGAGUCAGUGCUGUGUCAUUAUUAAGUUGAAUCGAGAGCGAUAAAGAAGCGAAGGCAUUGGAAGAAUGGAAAUAUUCUGACUGUAUUAUAUGCAGAGUCAUUGUUGAAGACCGAACGAUGGAAACGAAUGCUUCAACAAAUUGUACGUAUAGCAAAAUGGUUUGUGCUUUGGCUGUUGAUGCAUGAAGCUCAUGCGAUUAAAGAAUGGUAUGUAUUAUAAUAAAUCCUAAAAAUGUGUUCGCUUUUGUAAUUCCCAAAGACACAUGCAGGAAUCGAUCGGGCUUGGCCAUUUUAAUAGUCAUUAUUCAUUAAUAUUUUAUAUUGUUUAUUUAAAUUGAAUUUGUCUUUUUAUACAUUGCCUCGUAUUAUCUAUUUGCAUGUAGUACUAGCAUGCAAGUUUAUAUGAGGGCAAUUAUGAAGGGUUUACAUCAGAGGGUUGGGGCAUGUAUGAUGUAUAUUAACUAGAAUGGCUCAUAAACUUGCUGGUGCUACGUGCAAUAGAUAAUACGAGGCAACGUAUAAAUCAAGACAAUAUAAAAUAACGACUAUUAAAAUGGUCAAAGCCGAUCGAUUGCUGUGGCUUUGAGAAUUGCAAAUGCAAACACAUGUUUAGGAUUUAUUAUAAUACAUACUGAAAUGAGCUUCAUGCAUCAAUAGCCAAAGCACAAACCGUUCUGCCAUACACUUUGUCUUUGUCUUCAUCAAUGACUCUGCUGUGCCAUAUAAUACAGUCAGAAUAUUUCCCAUCUUCCAAUGUCUUCGCUUCUUUAUCGCUCUCGAUUAAACUUAAUAAUGACACAGCACCGACUCCUAGAUCGUGUCAUUUUUUUACUUGAUUACGAUCGUAUUGAAUUUAUCAAUGACGAUUACUAAAUGUUUACAAUGUUUACAAUUUGUUUAAAUAUUUAAAUCCGAAUAUUACAUCGAAUAGCUUCGGUAACGGCGUGAUAAAUAAGUGAUUUCCUGCGUCAGUUGUGAGAUUUACGAAAACAUCCUUCUUUUCGUUUAUAAUAAACUGAAAAGUCUUUUUCUGAUGCGCAGUGUUAAAACUUCCAAAUUUAAAAAUAGUACAGACUUGUUGAUAAUAGCACAAGAGUGAUAAUAACCCAUGCGUGUGAAGGUCAUUGAAGGCCGAUCUUCCAAUUAUCGUGUAGAUGAUUGUGAUUGGUUAAUUGCCGGGAAGUCAAAUGUAUAGCGAAUGUGAGCAGACGUUAGGUGAGGCCUCGGCCACUAACAACGUCUGCGCAGGAGGCUAAGCUAAUAUAUGCACCCUUUUAUUGUUAACCCUUUGAGCAGCAAUGUGCCCAAGUGCACCCUACUUUGUUAUGUUGCACUUAACUAACACCAGACAUUUUACUUUGUGAAAUGCCAGACAAUUUUACUCCUCAAGAGCAGUGUCCUGCUCACUAGUGGUUAUCCAAACUAUCUGCCAAUGUGCCUUGAUAAGCCAUUAGGUCGAAAUGGACCCGCCUUUGUUAUUUUACUCUGUCAAAUGCCGGACAAUUUUAGUCAUCAAGAAGAGAGUCCUGCGUGCUAGUGGGUUAAAUGACUUAAUUACAUAUGUUAUAUAUAAACUUAAGCUGUUAGAUUGUCCCAUUGUAUAUUAAUUUUUACUUAUCUUGACACAGGCUUGUAUGUUGGAUUGAUACGACUACCUCUAAAUAUGGUUAAACUUGGCUAUGUGAUUCAAAGGUUGUGGUUCACCGAGCGAUAAAGAAAAUGAUACAAAGAUGGAAUGAUUGGAUGCAAGUUAUUUACAGUGUUUCAUAUGACAGGUAUUCUGAUUGUGGAAGAUGUGGGCUUGCAAUAUUUUGACAAUUGCAUGGCUAUAAAGUACGAGACAAUUAAUAUAGUAUACUCCAUUACUCUAAUUGCCAGAACACUGCAUCAGAAUGGGAAGUUGUCUGUUACAGUUCGGUUUAGUAAAAGUACAUAGUAAAAGUACAUAGUCAACUAUGUAAAAUGUAAUUUAGUCAGUGUCAAAUAAAUAUUUUGUCAUGGAUAAACUCAAAUGAGCAUGUCUCUAAUGUCAUUUUACUUUUAAUAAGAAUAUGUAGAUGUGUUUUCU